RNAcentral lists this ribosomal RNA (380 nucleotides) under uncultured eukaryote. RNAcentral describes it as "partial 18S ribosomal RNA". It matches the Rfam family "Eukaryotic small subunit ribosomal RNA", at positions 592 to 976 of the family's 1831-position model. The record is from RNAcentral.
CAAUAGCGUAUAUUAAAGUUGUUGCAGUUAAAAAGCUCGUAGUUGGAUUUGUGGCUGUCACGGGCGGCCUAUCACUUAGUGUUAGUGCUUGCCUGUGUCGCCAUCCUUGGGUGGAGCCCGUGUGGCAUUAGGUUGUCGUGCGGGGGAUGCCCAUCGUUUACUGUGAGAAAAUUAGAGUGUUCAAAGCAGGCUUAUGCCGUUGAAUAUGUUAGCAUGGAAUAAUAAGAUAGGACCUCGGUACUAUUUUGUUGGUUUGCGCACCGAGGUAAUGAUUAAUAGGGACAGUUGGGGGUAUUCGUAUUUCAUUGUCAGAGGUGAAAUUCUUGGAUUUCUGGAAGACGAACUACUGCGAAAGCAUUUACCAAGGAUGUUUUCAUUAA